Molecule: long non-coding RNA, 594 nt
Filed under: Macaca mulatta (Rhesus monkey)
Lineage: Eukaryota; Metazoa; Chordata; Mammalia; Primates; Cercopithecidae
Description: lncRNA (ENSMMUG00000055137.1)
Source: RNAcentral
AUGGCUGCUAGAAGGGACCAUGACAAGCCGGUUCAGAUUCUGGGCCCCAGCCUUCUCUUGAUCUUAGUCACGGACACCCAUCCACUUUCACCCAGCCAAGAGAAAGACUCACUGCAAGCUGUGAAUAAUGAGGCUAGAAAAUCAUUAAGGCAAGAGAUGAAGACAGGUUAUUUCAGGUGUGUCUUUGAGAAGAUGAGAAGAUCGCAGACCUGUGUUCUAAACUGGCAUACUUCUAAAGAAAAGCAAGUUAAAUGGCACUGUCAAAGCUGAGACUGGAAACCUGUGAUCAAUGGGAGGUGCAUCUCCAUCUUACAGCAUACAAGACGGGUAAUGCUGGAACUGAAUAUGUUAUAGAGUCCACUGGUGUCUUCACUACCUUAUAAGAGGCUGGGACUCACUUGCAGGAUAGACCCCAAGGUAUCGUCAUCUCUGCCACUUCUUUGGUUGCUGCCAUGUUUGUGGUGGCAGUGAGUCAUAAGAUAUAUGACCAGUCCUUCAAGAUUGGCAGCAGUGCCUCCUGCACCAGCAAACUCAUGGCCACCCUGGCCAAGGUCACCAUGACAACAUUGAUAUUGUGGAGAGAUUAUUGACCAC